RNAcentral lists this transfer-messenger RNA (187 nucleotides) under Tabrizicola sp. RNAcentral's name for it is "partial transfer-messenger RNA". It matches the Rfam family "Alphaproteobacteria transfer-messenger RNA", at positions 169 to 355 of the family's 355-position model. Rfam says of the family: Bacterial tmRNA, also known as 10Sa RNA or SsrA, is named for its dual tRNA and mRNA-like properties. Its role is to liberate the mRNA from a stalled ribosome. The record is from RNAcentral. Lineage: Bacteria; Pseudomonadati; Pseudomonadota; Alphaproteobacteria; Rhodobacterales; Paracoccaceae.
AACGACCAAAGAGGCCAGCUUUCGCUCGGUGAGGUACCACCGUUAUCGGUCCAUGAUCACAGUUGCCAACGACAACCGUGCUCCGGUGGCGCUGGCCGCGUAAGCGGCUCGCAAGACCAAAACUAAGCCCUUGCGGUUAGCACCGUAAGGCGGGGCCCGCCGGAGCCUGGCAACAGAAUCCGGUACC